RNAcentral lists this ribosomal RNA (547 nucleotides) under uncultured bacterium. RNAcentral's name for it is "bacterial SSU rRNA". It matches the Rfam family "Bacterial small subunit ribosomal RNA", at positions 36 to 616 of the family's 1533-position model. The record is from RNAcentral.
CUGGCGGCGUGCCUAAACAUGCAAGUCGAACGAGAAAGUGGAGCAAUCCAUGAGUAAAGUGGCGACCGGGUGAGUAGCACGUGACUAACCUACCUCCAAGUGGGGAAUAACUCCGGGAAACCGGGGCUAAUACCGCAUAACAUCGCAAGAUCAAAGCAGCAAUGCGCUGGGAGAGGGGGUCGCGGCUGAUUAGCUAGUUGGCGGGGUAACGGCCCACCAAGGCGAAGAUCGGUAUCCGGCCUGAGAGGGCGCACGGACACACUGGAACUGAAACACGGUCCAGACUCCUACGGGAGGCAGCAGUGGGGAAUUUUGCGCAAUGGGGGAAACCCUGACGCAGCAACGCCGCGUGGAGGAUGAAGUCCCUUGGGACGUAAACUCCUUUCGACCAAGACGAUAAUGACGGUACUGGUGGAAGAAGCACCGGCUAACUCUGUGCCAGCAGCCGCGGUAAUACAGAGGGUGCAAGCGUUGUUCGGAAUUAUUGGGCGUAAAGGGCGCGUAGGCGGUGCCACAAGUCACCUGUGAAAUCUCCGGGCUUAACUCG